Long non-coding RNA from Thunnus maccoyii (southern bluefin tuna), 583 nucleotides. RefSeq lists it as uncharacterized. The transcript has 4 exons. Lineage: Eukaryota; Metazoa; Chordata; Actinopteri; Scombriformes; Scombridae. The record is from RefSeq and is a predicted model, not a curated record.
UUUUAUGGUUUAUGGCCAUGACUAACUUUUUUUUUUUUAAAUUCUGUCUUACAGGAGGUCAGUCGUGGUCUGAAAUUCCACUUCUAUAAUCCUUUUGGCCUAUUCUUAAAAGUGACCGUUGCAAAAAAAUCUUCCGGGGUGCAGAUGCCAUGGGAGACGUCUCGACUCGUCCACCAUGCAAACUGACAAGAGAUGCUGAGUGACGGAUAAACUGGACUUCAUCUCAGGACAUAGGGAAGGAUGAUUGGAUUUGGAGGCAGAUGAAAAAAAUGGGAGGUCAACUGUGUGACAGUCGGAGGUGACACCUUUCCAGCAGGAGACUUCUCAUCGGGUCAUGACAAAUUACACAGCUCCCAUUUCACCUGUCUCUCACCACCAUCACAUCACAAGGUAGUUCUGUGUGUGUGUGUAUUCCUUAGGUAUGGUGAAGUGUUUCCCUAAAUUCCUAGAUUCAGGUUUGGUAGAAUGUAUCUUCUGAGUAGUGUAUUACUUCUACUACUACUGCUACUGUGUAUUGGUAGAAACAGCCGUAGCAGUAACAAGAAUUAUUUUGUACCAUUAUGUUUAUUAUACUGACAAUAUA